This 457-nucleotide ribosomal RNA is filed under the name Pediococcus sp. RNAcentral's name for it is "bacterial SSU rRNA". It matches the Rfam family "Bacterial small subunit ribosomal RNA", at positions 114 to 558 of the family's 1533-position model. The record is from RNAcentral. Lineage: Bacteria; Bacillati; Bacillota; Bacilli; Lactobacillales; Lactobacillaceae.
CACGUGGGUAACCUGCCCAGAAGUAGGGGAUAACACCUGGAAACAGAUGCUAAUACCGUAUAACAGAGAAAACCGCAUGGUUUUCUUUUAAAAGAUGGCUCUGCUAUCACUUCUGGAUGGACCCGCGGCGUAUUAGCUAGUUGGUGAGGUAAAGGCUCACCAAGGCAGUGAUACGUAGCCGACCUGAGAGGGUAAUCGGCCACAUUGGGACUGAGACACGGCCCAGACUCCUACGGGAGGCAGCAGUAGGGAAUCUUCCACAAUGGACGCAAGUCUGAUGGAGCAACGCCGCGUGAGUGAAGAAGGGUUUCGGCUCGUAAAGCUCUGUUGUUAAAGAAGAACGUGGGUAAGAGUAACUGUUUACCCAGUGACGGUAUUUAACCAGAAAGCCACGGCUAACUACGUGCCAGCAGCCGCGGUAAUACGUAGGUGGCAAGCGUUAUCCGGAUUUAUUGGG